CGCGGUCUUUCCGAAUGGUUCGAGAUGCGCGUCCCUCCAAUCGGAGGUUAAUCACUGAAGCCCUAUCCAGUGUUAACUGGUCUCCAAUGUAUCAUCUGAGCUCUUGUGACGAACAGUUCCAAUAUUUCUCUUCCAUUGUUGAUGGUAUUGUUGAUAAAUAUCUCCCUCUGAAACGUAUUAAAUCUGACAGCAGCGAUAAGCCCUGGAUUACUCCAGAGAUAAAAAGAUUAAUAUCGAAACGCCAAGUAACAUGGCGGAAAGGAAACAAGCCUAUGUUUCGAUUCUAUAGGAACAAAAUUAAUAUCUUGUGUAGGCAUGCUCGCUCAAAGUAUUAUACCAACAAUGUCGCUAAUACCACUCAGUCGAAUCCACGGAAGUGGUGGUCCGCUGUCAAAAAUAUUGCUGGCCUUGCCCCAUCUAAAAACGUUUCCACACUUGUGUACAACGGACAGCCCUAUUCCGAUUCGGCUCUGGCCAACCUGUUCAACGACAAGUUUGUUGCUGUUGGGAAUUCCCUGCCUCCGCUUGCUUGGACGCCCCUCGAAGUCGGUGAUUCUCCUCCCGACUUUUACAUUUCAGUCGACGACACCGAGAAAGCAUUACAAUCCGUCAAGUCCUUUUCAGCUGCAGGUCCUGACGAAAUCACGCCUUGGUUCCUCCGUGAUAAUUCCUCGUUAUUGUGUCGCCCAUUAGCAUCCAUAUUUAAUGCCUCUAUUCAUGAUGGUUGCGUUCCAUCCCUGUGGAAAUCUGCAAAUGUCAUUCCUGCAGCAAAGUCUUCUCCUGCUCUGGAUGUUGACUCUGAUUUUCGACCGAUAUCGCUCACGCCCAUAGUGAGUAAGAUUCUGGAAUCAUUUCCAUAUAACUGGCUCUUGCAGUCAAUCCGCGACCAAAUCGAUAAGCUCCAAUUUGGCUCAAUUAAAGGAUCUAACACCACCAUGGCGCUAAUACACCUGCUUCAUAAAUGGUACGAAGCGAUGGACACACCUGGAGCCUGCCUACGGAUAUGCAUGCUAGACUUUUCCAAAGCUUUUGACCGUAUCGAUUUCAACAUUCUGAUGCAGAAACUCAUUAACAUGGGCGUACACCCUAUCCUAAUUAAUUGGAUUGCCAAUUUCCUUACCGACAGAAGUCAGAGAACAAGAAUUGGCUCUAAUUUUUCGAGUUGGAGAACUACCAACGGAGGAGUCCCCCAAGGAACCAAAUUGGGCCCCCUCCUCUUCCUCAUCAUGGUGAACGACUUGAAUGUUUCUGACGAUACAGUGAAAUUUGUUGACGACACCACUAUCUGGGAGAUCGUCUUGAAGGGUCAAGAAUCCAACUCGGUCCUACCGUCUCAAAUUACAGAAUCUACCAAAUGGGCGUCUGAGAAUAACAUGAAACUGAACCCUAUAAAAACAAAAGAAGUUCGUGUUGGGUUUUCUCCUCUUGAUCCCGGGGCUCUUCCGCCGAUCACCAUUGACGGUCACGACAUAGUUGUGGUUCCGCAUGCUAAAUUACUUGGUGUCAUGAUAUCUAAAGAUCUGAAAUGGAUCGAGCACGUUGAUUAUAUCUGCAAGAAAGCUUCGAAGCGAUUGUAUGCCUUACGAUUACUUAAGAGAGCCUCUAUACCAGCGAGCAAGUUAGUCCGGGUUUUUACUACCUGCGUUCGACCAAUCUUAGAAUUUUCGUGCGAGGUAUGGCACUAUAGCUUGGCGCAAUAUUUGAGCGACGAGAUCGAGAGUAUUCAACGGAGAGCCCUUCGUAUAAUCUUUCCUGAUCUCAAAUAUGAAGAUGCGUUGGUACGUGCUGGGGUGGUGUCACUGUUCCUGCGGAGAAAGACCAUUUGCGAGAAACUUUUUGCUCAAAUGUGUGAUGAAUCAUCCCAUAAACUCCAUUCUCUCGUUCCCCCAAGACAUAAAACAGGAUAUUCUCUACGUAAUGAUAAUUGUCUUUCAAUACCAAAGCAUAGGACAAGUAGGUUUGCUAACAGUUUUAUUAUGGCCGGUAGUAAGGCCUACAACUCCAGUUUUAAAUAAUAAUAUUUAAGCUAUAUUCUUACCUAGAACUAUUACAAUUAACAGCUUGUAAAUAAUGAGUGUUUGUAGACAUUUUACUCGUAUGCAUGUAAACCAGUGUAAUUCAGUUCUUAACUGCAAAAUUGGUAUCUUUUAAUAAAUUGAUAAAUUGAU
Molecule: long non-coding RNA, 2168 nt
Filed under: Paramuricea clavata
Lineage: Eukaryota; Metazoa; Cnidaria; Anthozoa; Malacalcyonacea; Plexauridae
Source: RNAcentral